UGUCAGUUUAACAGAAAAGCCCUCAGGCUGUAGCUUGACAAAAAGACACAGGGGUAUUGACAUCCAGGUAUGUUUCCAGAUUUGGAUUAUGAUGUGACAACCUGAUGACAAGUUCUAUUGAAACAAUUAGUGAAGUGAUUCUAACCCGAGAAUAACCCAAAUGAUCUCCCAUACUUCAUUUAUCAAGAUCUCCCUCAACAGAUAAAAGGAUAAAGAAAAUGUGGAUGUCUUAGAUGGCUGAGGAGAACAGAAAGUAAAGCAAAACAGUCUGGAAUUUAAAAAAGGAGGAUGGACUGGGGAAGAGUGUUUCUUACUACAAGAAAAUGGAUUUGGACUUAGACUUACAUCUCUGCUUCUUUUGAGUUCUAUGUGAUGCAUCCAUUAACUUUCCUUGGGAGCUGAACCAUUUUUGAAACAUUGUACAUGAAUGAGGCUGUAUAAGGAGAUUUCUGAAACCUUGUGAGAAAACUCCAAAUAAACAAGAUGAAAACUGAGAAGGGUUAUGCAUCUAUCAUUCCAGAGGGAUAUACUGAAACACUGUUGAUAAUUCUCUAGCUCCUUCAGCCUUGGACCAUCAAGGAUGACUGCAAAAAGCAAGGAGACAAUGGAAGUCACCAGAAAAAUAACUAACCUGCAAUUAAAGAGAGACAAAAUUUACCCAUGGUUCAUGUCACCACUGAAA
This is a long non-coding RNA of Mastomys coucha (southern multimammate mouse), 682 nucleotides long. RefSeq lists it as uncharacterized. The record is from RefSeq and is a predicted model, not a curated record. The transcript is spliced from 6 exons. Lineage: Eukaryota; Metazoa; Chordata; Mammalia; Rodentia; Muridae.